CCGUGUACAAGUCUCCUGGAAGGGAGCAUCGUAGAGGGUGACAAUCCCGUCUCUGACACGGACCGCCGGCGCUAUGUGAUGCGCUCUCGACGAGUCGAGUUGUUUGGGAAUGCAGCUCAAAUAGGGUGGUAAACUCCAUCUAAAGCUAAAUACGGGCGAGAGACCGAUAGCGAACAAGUACCGUGAGGGAAAGAUGAAAAGAACUUUGGAAAGAGAGUUAAACAGUACGUGAAAUUGCUGGAAGGGAAACGCUUGACGUCAGUCGCGUCGUCCGGGGAUCAACCUUGCCCUCUGGCUGGGCGUAUUUCCCGGUCGACGGGUCAGCAUCGAUUUCGACCGUCGUAGAAGGACUGGAGCGAAUGUGGCACUCCACGGAGUGUGUUAUAGCCUCCCGUAUGGAUGCGACGGUCGGGAUCGAGGAACUCGGCACGGCCCCUCGAGGGUUCGGGGCUUCGGUCCACGCAGCGUGCCCAGGAUGCUGGCAUAAUGGCUUUAAGCGACCCGUCUUGAAACACGGACCAAGGAGUCUAACGUGCCUGCGAGUGUUUGGGUGCAAAACCCGAGCGCGAAACGAAAGUGAAAGUCGAGACCUCCGUCGCGGAGGGCACCGACGCCCGGACCGGAGCCUUUGGCGAUGGAUCUGCGGUAGAGCAUGUAUGUUGGGACCCGAAAGAUGGUGAACUAUGCCUGAAUAGGGCGAAGCCAGAGGA
RNAcentral lists this ribosomal RNA (710 nucleotides) under Scleroderma sp. RNAcentral's name for it is "eukaryotic LSU rRNA". It matches the Rfam family "Eukaryotic large subunit ribosomal RNA", at positions 175 to 859 of the family's 3401-position model. The record is from RNAcentral. Lineage: Eukaryota; Fungi; Basidiomycota; Agaricomycetes; Boletales; Sclerodermataceae.